GGAGGCUGCGCACGAUGGCGUUCUUCUUGGCCAUCCGCCGCGUCCCCAAAGCCAGGCAGGUCGUGAUCACGGCCGGCAGACCUUCGGGGAUGGCGGCGACGGCGAGGGCGACGGCGAUCUUGAAGUAAUAGAUGGCACCCCGGAUCCAGGAUCCUCCGUGGACGGGGUCGUUAAAGUGGCCGAUGUUAAUGAGCCAAACGGCCACGCAAAUGAGGGAGAUGACUUUGGACAGCUGCUCCCCGAACUCGUCCAGCUUCUGCUGCAGGGGGGUCUUAUCCUGUUCCGUGGCCGCCAUCUCAUCCCGGAUCUUCCCGAUCUCCGUGUUCACCCCCGUGGCCACCACGAUGCCCACCGCUUUGCCUGCGCCGAUGUUGGUGCCAGAGAAGAGCAUAUUCUUCUUGUCCUGAUUGACAGCGCGGGGGUCGGGGACGGGCUCCGUGUGUUUGAUCACCGACACCGACUCACCGGUGAGGAUGGACUGAUCGACGCGCAGCGUGGUGGAUUUGAUGGAGAUGAUGCGGAUAUCAGCCGGGACUUUGUCACCCACGGCCACCUCGGCGAUGUCCCCCGGCACGAGGUCGCGGGCUUUGAUGCGCUGCACCGCUUUGCGGUCGGCGCGGUACACUUUGCCCAUCUCCGGCUCGUAUUCCUUCAGCGCCUCGAUGGCGUUCUCCGCAUUGCGCUCCUGCCAGACGCCGACGACGGCAUUGGCGAUGAGGAUGAGGAGGAUGACGAAGGGCUCCACGAAGGCUGUGAUGGUUUCCUCCCCCUCCUCAAACCACGCCAGCACGAAGGAGAUGCAGGCGGCCAAUAGGAGGAUUCGCACCAGGAGGUCCUCAAACUGCUCCACCACCAACUCCCAUAUGGUUUUACCUUCCUCUGCCGGCAGCUCGUUGUGGCCGUACUUUUCCAGCGCCCUCCUCACCUGCUCGCCGCUCAGCCCGACGCUUUCGUUCACCCCGAAGAAAGCCAAGCAUUCCUCGGCCGUUUUCGCGUGCGCGUUUUCCAUCCUUA
This 1014-nucleotide unclassified non-coding RNA is filed under the name Hevea brasiliensis (rubber tree). The record is from RNAcentral. Lineage: Eukaryota; Viridiplantae; Streptophyta; Magnoliopsida; Malpighiales; Euphorbiaceae.